RNAcentral lists this long non-coding RNA (1346 nucleotides) under Ursus maritimus (polar bear). RNAcentral describes it as "lncRNA (ENSUMAG00000025025.1)". Lineage: Eukaryota; Metazoa; Chordata; Mammalia; Carnivora; Ursidae. The record is from RNAcentral.
GGGAGAGGAGGCCGGGGGUGGUGCACACUUCCUAGACUUGUGGUCAGGACUAGUCUGGAGCACACUGAAGUCAGCCACACCGGGCCAGGAGGCCGCCAGUCAGUGUAGCUGUGGGCACUGCUCCCAUGGCACUUUCGGGCCGGCUCCAUGCUGCCACCUCCUGCUUUUCAUCAUCAUCUUCAAGGUCAUGUGCCUCUGCAAGGGGAGAGGAGGCCGGGGGUGGUGCACACUUCCUAGACUUGUGGUCAGGACUAGUCUGGAGCCCACUGAAGUCAGCCACACCUGGCACAGAAGGCCCCCAGUCAGUGUAGCUGUGGGCACUGCUCCCAUGGCACUUUCGGGCCGGCUCCAUGCUGCCACCUCCUGCUUUUCAUCAUCAUCUUCAAGGUCGUGUGCCUCUGCUCUUGUCCAUGGCCUCCAGGGUAUGGUCCGUCCUCCAUCUGGCCUCGUCCCUGGUACCCUGUGCAGUCGGAUGCCAGGGUAGCCUUCUCGAGACAAACAUCUGACCCUGAUGGAACACUUCCAUGGAUCUCGUGUGAUGCGAGGAUGAUGCCCUGCCCUGGAAAGGGGCUGCAGGUCCCCAAUCAGGAGAGCCAUGUCUCCGUUUUCAGCAUGGCCUGCCCUCCCCUCAGUCUUCUUCAGGGAAGCUCUCCCCACUUCCUGAGAUGACAGCUCUGAACUUAAAAGUGAAUGUUAUUUUACAUAUCUCUAUGACUUAGUGCAUCCAUGGCAGGUCUUCCAACCCCAUUAGUGGGUUUUUUAGCAGUUCUGAAGGGCUGUCUGCUCAAGGAGGGGAUGACCUGGGUGGGGCAGCUUUCCCUCUCAUCUCCCUCAGCCUGUCUCUGAGCCCUGGGGCCAGCUGUCCCACUGAGGAUUGAGGGACCCGAGCCAGCCCAUCCUGAGCCCAGGCUGUGUGUCAGCUGUGUAGACUGAUGCGUGUCGGAGCGGUGGGCAGCUGGCAUAGGCCAGGGGCAGGCAGUGUCUCCCCUCCUCAUUCCUUCCCUCCCUUCCUCCCAGAGGUAGCUCAGAGCAGCCUUCAAACCCUGCAUCUCCAGAUCCCUUGACCUAUGCCUCCUGUGUUCAGCUGGUGACCUUGGAGUUUCGCAUGGAUUCUACCUCCUGUACCCUCUCCCAUAGCAGUUCUUGGAUCAGGGGAGGAGUCAGAAUCUUGUCUGGUUUUGGUCUUCUUCCUGUCCCGCACAAAGCCCACCCACCUUUGCAUCUUCCAUGUAUGUACUUGGAUGCAAGCCCAUCCACAGGGAACCUAUUAGCCAAAUGGAUCCAGGCAAUGAACAUUGAAAUAGAGAUCCAGGAUCCCUAAUAAACCUGCUCUGAAACCUAUCCCA